GACGAACGCUGGCGGCGUGCUUAACACAUGCAAGUCGUACGGGACCGGGGGCAACCCCGGUUCAGUGGCGGACGGGUGCGUAACACGUGAGGAACAUGACCUUCGGUGGGGGAUAGCCGGCCCAACGGCCGGGUAAUACCGCGUACGACGUUCCGGGCGCAUGUCCGGGGCGUGAAAGCAGCAAUGCGCCGAAGGAGUGCCUCGCGGCCUAUCAGCUAGUUGGUGGGGUAACGGCUCACCAAGGCGACGACGGGUAGCUGGUCUGAGAGGAUGGCCA
RNAcentral lists this ribosomal RNA (277 nucleotides) under uncultured bacterium. RNAcentral's name for it is "partial 16S ribosomal RNA". It matches the Rfam family "Bacterial small subunit ribosomal RNA", at positions 28 to 306 of the family's 1533-position model. The record is from RNAcentral.